UAGGUUGAAGAAUGUAUGAUUGAAAUGCU
Molecule: non-coding RNA, 29 nt
Filed under: Mus musculus (house mouse)
Lineage: Eukaryota; Metazoa; Chordata; Mammalia; Rodentia; Muridae
Source: RNAcentral